UAAGGAUGAAAGCGGGGGACUCGCAAGAGCCUCGCGCGGUUGGUUCUGGCGAUAUCAGAUUAGGUAGUUGGUGAGGUAAAGGUGCACCAAGCCAACGAUCUGUAGCUGGUCUGAGAGGACGACCAGCCACACUGGAACUGAGACACGGUCCAGACUCCUACGGGAGGCAGCAGUGGGGAAUUUUGGACAAUGGACGCAAGUCUGAUCCAGCCAUUCCGCGUGCAGGACGAAGGCCUUCGGGUUGUAAACUGCUUUUGUACAGAACGAAAAGGUCUCUAUUAAUACUAGGGGCUCAUGACGGUACUGUAAGAAUAAGCACCGGCUAACUACGUGCCAGCAGCCGCGGUAAUACGUAGGGUGCAAGCGUUAAUCGGAAUUACUGGGCGUAAAGCGUGCGCAGGCGGUUAUAUAAGACAGAUGUGAAAUCCCCGGGCUCAACCUGGGAACUGCAUUUGUGACUGUAUAGCUGGAGUGCGGCAGAGGGGGAUGGAAUUCCGCGUGUAGCAGUGAAAUGCGUAGAUAUGCGGAGGAACACCGAUGGCGAAGGCAAUCCCCUGGGCCUGCACUGACGCUCAUGCACGAAAGCGUGGGGAGCAAACAGGAUUAGAUACCCUGGUAGUCCACGCCCUAAACGAUGUCAACUGGUUGUUGGGUCUUCACUGACUC
RNAcentral lists this ribosomal RNA (666 nucleotides) under uncultured Burkholderiales bacterium. Its description in RNAcentral is "bacterial SSU rRNA". It matches the Rfam family "Bacterial small subunit ribosomal RNA", at positions 195 to 841 of the family's 1533-position model. The record is from RNAcentral. Lineage: Bacteria; Pseudomonadati; Pseudomonadota; Betaproteobacteria; Burkholderiales.